Molecule: ribosomal RNA, 252 nt
Filed under: uncultured microorganism
Description: partial 16S ribosomal RNA
Rfam family: Bacterial small subunit ribosomal RNA
Source: RNAcentral
UACGUAGGUCCCGAGCGUUGUCCGGAUUUAUUGGGCGUAAAGCGAGCGCAGGUGGUCUAAUAAGUCUGAUGUAAAAGGCAGUGGCUCAACCAUUGUGUGCAUUGGAAACUGUUAGACUUGAGUGCAGUAGAGGAGAGUGGAAUUCCAUGUGUAGCGGUGAAAUGCGUAGAUAUAUGGAGGAACACCGGUGGCGAAAGCGGCUCUCUGGACUGUAACUGACACUGAGGCUCGAAAGCGUGGGUAGCAAACAGG